RNAcentral lists this ribosomal RNA (486 nucleotides) under uncultured bacterium. RNAcentral's name for it is "partial 16S ribosomal RNA". It matches the Rfam family "Bacterial small subunit ribosomal RNA", at positions 28 to 523 of the family's 1533-position model. The record is from RNAcentral.
GACGAACGCUGGCGGCGUGCUUAACACAUGCAAGUCGAACGGAGAUACAAUGAAGAUUUAUCAGAUUUGUAUUUUAGUGGCGGACGGGUGAGUAACACGUGGGUAACCUGCCCUAUGGAGGGGGAUAACACAUAGAAAUGUGUGCUAAUACCGCAUGACGUGCAAGAGUCGCAUGACUUUUGCAUCAAAGAUUUAUUGCCAUAGGAUGGACCCGCGGCCCAUUAGCUAGUUGGUGAGGUAACGGCUCACCAAGGCGACGAUGGGUAGCCGAUCUGAGAGGAUGAACGGCCACAUUGGAACUGAGACACGGUCCAGACUCCUACGGGAGGCAGCAGUGGGGAAUAUUGCACAAUGGGGGAAACCCUGAUGCAGCAACGCCGCGUGAGUGACGAAGGCCUUCGGGUUGUAAAACUCUGUCUUAGCUGACGAUAAUGACGGUAAGCUAGGAGGAAGCCACGGCUAACUACGUGCCAGCAGCCGCCGUAA